This 2325-nucleotide ribosomal RNA is filed under the name Triticum aestivum (bread wheat). RNAcentral describes it as "partial small subunit ribosomal RNA". Lineage: Eukaryota; Viridiplantae; Streptophyta; Magnoliopsida; Poales; Poaceae. The record is from RNAcentral.
AUGACAUCGACCCCGCAGCCUCCCCGCGAUCGCGCGCACGCCGCCCCGCCCGCGCAGGACCUCACCGGCCUCGGCCUCGCGGCCGCGAGGUCCCUCCGCCACCGCCCACCUCGCCAAGGGUCGAUGCCUUCAGGUUCUGUGGAGCACCAGACCAUUUCAGGCUCACUGAUCCACUCAAUGAUUCAGUUCUGCGGAGCACCAGAGUACUUCAUGUUCAAUGAUCCGCAGCCGGUGAUCCCACACCAUGUGGCCGCGGAACCCAGUCACAAUGCUCCCGUGGCCACCCUCUCCAGGGCCACCAACACAGAGACUGACAACCCCGAAGACUGGGAGUUCAUCUCGGAUGAGUCGCUCAACUACAUCAGCCGGAUGCUCAUGGAGGAGGACAUUGAUGAGAAGGUCAGCGUGUACCAGGAGGAGUCAGCCACUCUCCGUGCUACCGCAAAGCCCUUCUAUGACAUCCUUGGGCACAAGUUCCCGCCGUCCCCUGACCGCACGCUCACGACUUGGUCCCUGGACAGCCCCAGUGAGAGCAGCAGCAGCGGUCAUGCCCAGUCCUUGUCCAGUGUGGGUACUAGCGGCAGCAUCGGUGGUGCGGUUCAUAGCAACCAGUGCCAUAAUGUUGGACACUCUGAGCAGCUGGAAGCUUAUCGCGGCUUGUGUGGCCGAUCUUCUCAGCCACUGGUUGCCCCACCAAGUGGUGUUUCUGAUGCAGCAGAGUCACUAGAAGAUCCUUUGAUCACCAACGGCAGGAUCCCCGAGUAUUUGUUCGAGAGCCUUCCAACUUGGGAUUUCAGGAGAGGUGUCGAGGAAGCACAGAAGUUUCUCCCUGGUGGUGAUAAGCUAGUGAUUGAUUUAGAAGCUGCUGGUGUCUCAAAGCCUCAAGAAGCAGUGAAAGACAUUCCUUUCAAUGUGAGCAGGACAGAGGUCUUGAAGGCCAAGAAAAACAGACAGAGCGAAGAUCUUGACUUGAUAGAAGGACGGAACAUUAAACAAUCUGCAUUCUGUUCCGAUGAGCCUGAUGAUUGGGUUGAGAUGUUUGAUGAUUUGUUUCGUCAAACUGAAAAAAAGGCUACAGUUCUGCGAGAAAAGAUGCGCAGCGAAGCUUCCAAGAAUUCUCAGGUCAUUCAAACGAAAGGAACAACUGGGGUGAAGACACGGGGCAGGAAGCCGACUAAAAAUGAUGUGGUGGACCUUAGGACCAUCCUCAUCCACUGUGCACAGGCAGUGGCAGCUGAUGACCGCCGAACUGCUAAUGAGUUGCUAAAGCAAAUAAAACAGCAUUCCAAGGUAAAUGGGGAUGGCAGCCAGAGGCUGGCGUUUUGCUUUGCACAGGGUCUCGAGGCUCGCUUGGCUGGCACAGGGAGCCAGCAGUACCAUAGGCUUGUAGCAAAGCGGACAACCGCGUCCGACAUGCUUAAGGCGUACCAUCUUUACUUUGCAGCAUGCCCAUUCAAGAGGCUCUCACAUUUCCUCUCCAAUCAAACAAUCUUGAGCAUGACAAAAAAUGCAAAGAAGGUGCACAUAAUUGACUUCGGCAUUUAUUUUGGCCUCCAAUGGCCAUGCCUCAUCAGGCGUCUCUCCAAGAGGGAAGGUGGUCCACCAAUUCUUCGCAUCACGGGAAUUGAUGUACCCGAGCCCGGUUUCCGCCCUACCGAGCGCAUCGAAGAGACGGGACAGAGGCUUGCAGAGUAUGCCAAGAAGUUUGAGGUGCCUUUUGAGUACCAUGGCAUAGCAUCAAAGUGGGAAACCAUCCGUGCUGAGGAUCUCAAGGUUGGCAAAGACGAAGUGGUGAUUGUUAAUUGCCUGUACCGUUUCAGAAAUCUUAUUGACGAAACAGUGGCUGUAGACAGCCCUAGGAAUAGGGUGCUCAACACUAUAAGGCAAGUGAAUCCAGCAAUUUUCAUCCAUGGGAUUGUGAAUGGGUCAUACAGUGUUCCUUUCUUCAUCACACGUUUCCGUGAGGCAUUGUUCCAUUUCUCUGCAUUGUUUGACAUGCUUGAGGCAACUGUGCCGCGGGAUGAUGACCAGCGUAGGCUCAUAGAGAGGGAUCUCUUUGGCCGAGAGGCACUCAAUGUGAUUGCAUGUGAGGGCUCAGACAGAGUCGAGAGGCCAGAGACAUAUAAACAGUGGCAAGUCAGGAACCUGAGGGCUGGAUUUGUUCAGUCUCCGCUAAACCAGGACAUUGUGAUAAAAGCCAAAGACAAAGUGAAAGAUAUAUAUCACAAAGAUUUUGUCAUAGACGAAGACAGUGGAUGGCUCCUCCAAGGGUGGAAAGGAAGGAUAAUUUAUGCUAUAACUACAUGGAAGCAUAAUAACAGUUAG